Molecule: ribosomal RNA, 154 nt
Filed under: uncultured Pseudomonadota bacterium
Lineage: Bacteria; Pseudomonadati; Pseudomonadota
Description: uncultured proteobacterium partial 16S rRNA
Rfam family: Bacterial small subunit ribosomal RNA
Source: RNAcentral
UGGGGAAUUUUGCGCAAUGGGCGAAAGCCUGACGCAGCAACGCCGCGUGAGUGAUGAAGGCUUUCGGGUCGUAAAGCUCUGUCAGGGGGAAAGAAGUGCAAGGUGGUUAAUACCCAUUUUGUUUGACGGUACCCCCAAAGGAAGCACCGGCUAA